ACUUCAUAAUAUUUUGGUCAUAUGGCGGAAAACUUGAGAAGUGUUUCUUCACUUUUAUUAUUUCCAUUUUAUUUUACUCCAUAGAUCUGAAAAAAGCGGUAACCCUAAAAAAGCUGGUGGCCCUUUCAUACAGUUGAUGAAAGAUGGCAGAAGAUGGAGCCACAAUUUCAUCUACAUGUGCUGAUAUAUUUAGUUCUGGUAUAGCAGAAAAUGUUACCGUAAAGUCUAAUGCACAAUCCUCAGAUGAUACCUAUGAUACACAACUACUUGGAUUUACACCAAAAUCUUUUUGUAAUGGAAUUUAUAAUGCCAUGAACCAGUAUCUAGUGGAUGGAUUGGAGGCCAUGAAAAACUAUUUAAUUUCACGUCAUGGUGAUGUAAUGUCAAAUGAUGAUUUAAAUGAUGGAGUUAUGAAUAUUCAGCAAAAAGUUAUGGAAGAAUUUGAUACCACAUUCGAUAAAUUUGAGGUGUAUGCAUUUAACAAUGUGAUGAAUGUACCCUCACAUGCCGUAUUACCAGAAGAUGAAAUUCAGCUAAAACCAGUAGCACCAGAAAAUGAAAAUAUUGAAUUACAAAUCAAGGAAUUAAAAGAAAGUAUUCUAGCUAUAAAAUUAGCAAAUGCUAAUGCACAAAAAGAACUAGAACUAGCAGUGAUGACCCAAGAGGAACUUGAUAAGAUACUUAAUAAAAUGGAAGAAUAUUAUCCAAUCUUGUCUUCUUCAUCAGAAAUAAAAGAUGCUAUUGAUUUCUCCAUGAAAGAAAUGCUGAAAUUGGUACCUCAUUAAAGCUGAAAAAUAAAUCUCAUUUCUGACCUUUCAGAAAACAUUAGUAUAAAGAGGUAUUAUCACUUCCAGAAGGGAAGGCGGAUGUAAAUAAUUUGAAAAAUAUAUUCAGAUUAACCGUAGACUGGCUUGAUUAUUGAAAAUACAAGUACUGGCCUGCUUUAAGUAAUAAAUCUUGUACAAGCAUUAUUGAAUGACUGCCUGGUGAAGAUGACAGAAGUCAUAGGGCCUCUUUUAAGUGCUAAAAUAUUGUAACAAACAGUUCCAUAAAGUGUUUCAGGAGUUAGUAUAGCUUGUAAAAAUUUAUAUUGUUUUUAUUCCUUUUACUUGUAAAUAUAUUAUGUAAUUAAAAUAACUGCUAAGAUAAUUACUAUGUAUAUAUAUAUACACACAAAACAUGAACUGUAAAACCAAA
This is a long non-coding RNA of Patella vulgata (common limpet), 1197 nucleotides long. RefSeq lists it as uncharacterized. NCBI's taxonomy places the organism in Eukaryota, Metazoa, Mollusca, Gastropoda, Patellidae. The transcript is spliced from 7 exons. The record is from RefSeq and is a predicted model, not a curated record.